Molecule: transfer RNA, 72 nt
Filed under: Myxococcales bacterium
Lineage: Bacteria; Pseudomonadati; Myxococcota; Myxococcia; Myxococcales
Description: tRNA-Asp
Rfam family: tRNA
About the family: Transfer RNA (tRNA) molecules are approximately 80 nucleotides in length. Their secondary structure includes four short double-helical elements and three loops (D, anti-codon, and T loops).
Source: RNAcentral
GGGGUGUUGGUGCAGUGGCAGCACGUCGCGUUGUCAACGCGAAGGUCACGGGUUCGAUCCCCGUACGCCCCG